This 1877-nucleotide long non-coding RNA is filed under the name Salmo salar (Atlantic salmon). RNAcentral's name for it is "lncRNA (ENSSSAG00000110581.1)". The record is from RNAcentral. Lineage: Eukaryota; Metazoa; Chordata; Actinopteri; Salmoniformes; Salmonidae.
CUGCAGCUCCUACUACAACAACUUUAGAUCGUACGACCACAACAACAGAAGCACCUACAACGACAACUGAAGAUCGUACGACCACAACAACAGAAGCACCUACAACGACAACUGAAGGUCCUACGAUAACCACAACAACAUCUGUAGCUCCUUCGCCAACAACUGUAGCUCCUACGACCACUACAACUGCAUCAUCUACUUUGACAACCACUGCAGCACCUGCUACAAUAACUACAACUGAAGCCCCUAUGACAACCACAACACCUACUAUGGCCAUUACAACAGCAGCACCCAUAACAAGAACUGUAGCUCCUAUGAUCAAUACAACUUCAGCACCUACUUCGACAACCACUGCAGCACCUGCUACAAUAACUACAACUGCAGCUCUUACAACAACCACAACUGCAGCUAAAGCUACAACCAUAACUGCACCUCCUACUAUAACAUUUUUAGCUCUUAUGACCCCUACAUCAGCCGCACCUACAAUGAAAUCUGUUGCUCCUACAGCAACUGUUGCGGCUACAACCACUACAUCUACCAUACCUACAACAACAACUAAAGCUCUUACUCCAAUAACUGUAGCUCCUUCAACCAGCACCACAAAAGCUGCUAUGACAAUCAAUUCAGCUCUUACUAAAACAACCAUUGGUCCUACCACCCCUACAACUGCAGCAUCUACUACGACAACAACUACAGCUCUUAGAACAACCACAAUUGCAGCUACUAUGAUAACUGCAGCUCCUACAAGUGCAACUGCAGCUCCUACAGCUGCAACUCUUACAACUGCAUCUGCAGCUCCUACAACUGCAGAUGAUAAUGCUGCAUUAAUUAAAACAGCUGUAGCUCCUACAACCACUACAAUGGCAGGUCCUUCAACAACCACAACUCCAUCUCCUUCGACAACCACAACGAAAGCUGCUACAACAACCACAAAUAUAGCUGCUACAACCACCACAACAGCAGCACCCACAACGACAACUGUAGAAGCUACCACACCACCUCCUACUCUUUUGCUGACCACUCCUUUCAAUACCACAAGUGGAGGUUUUCCUGGCUGGGCUCUGGCCAUUAUCAUCCCUUGUGGCAUCGCUAUCAUUCUGGUACCCCUGUGGAUCCUGCUAUGUUGCAUUUUAUGUGGCGGAUGUGCAGCUAUAAGGAGACGCUGGCACAGACGCAGAUCUUACAAUGUACAGUACAGCAGAAGAAACGGUCUCUUCUGAGGUGACAACGCUAACAUCUCUGACCAAUUGUAAUCACAAGAACAGCCAAUCAUCUAUAUCUGCUAAUCAUGGCACUUUAAUGCAUGGAAAAAUUACUUGACUACACGGCAUUGCAUCUGAGAAGAUCAAGUGAAAAUGUAUAAUAGGCUUAAAAGGCCACAUGUUUUUUGUGCAAUGUACUACUUUAUAUAUUAUGCAUCUGAAUGUUAAUCAAAGUUACAGCUGAGCUGAACAUAGUAUGUUAAUAUAUUUAUUAGUUAUGUCAUUUGUGGUUUCAAGCUGUGCUGUCCACUUACUAAAACAGUUAUCAUUUAUUUAUUUCAUGUAUAAUAAGCUUCAUUCCAAUAUUUAUUUUUUGUUUGUUAUUUCCUCUCUUGAUUAACUAUGAACUAAUUUAUUUUAAACUUCAAUACAGUACAUGUUUCUUCAACUUAUAGUUUGACAAAUGUAAUGAAAAUACAAACCAGUAUUAUGAUCAAAUUUUAUGUAAAGGUUUGACUGCAGGGUGAUUAUAGACAGCACAUGUACACAUCAAAAGUAGUCAAAAUUGUCCGACCUGGCACCUUAAUCUAUGCAAAACUUAUUAAAGACCAAGUUCAGUCAAAAAACGUGAUUUUCUUAUGUUUUGUAUUCAGUGCCUUCAAAACGUAUUCACAC